AAGUGCCUGCAAGGGGUUGAGAGAGAGAGAGGUGGGGAGAGAUGAGAGGACCUACAAGGGGCAGAGAGAAGGAGAGAGAGAUCAGCGCCCCCAUCGCCAUGGCAACGCGGCCUAGCCCCGGUAGAGAGGAUGGAGCUUGCCCCCCCUCCCCAUACAAUACCUUAAGAGGACAAUUACAAGACAAGUAAAACUGAUACCUGUCCAUUCUCCGACUCCUGGCACCAUAAGACCAGUGCCUACCUCAUCGGCAACCCUCGGGCUAUCCUUGAUCGGUCUUUACUGGCUUUACCUUGCACUAAAUGCCAUUCCCUUA
This is a long non-coding RNA of Amblyraja radiata (thorny skate), 313 nucleotides long. RefSeq lists it as uncharacterized. The record is from RefSeq and is a predicted model, not a curated record. Lineage: Eukaryota; Metazoa; Chordata; Chondrichthyes; Rajiformes; Rajidae. The transcript is spliced from 3 exons.